RNAcentral lists this long non-coding RNA (209 nucleotides) under Lathyrus oleraceus (garden pea). RNAcentral's name for it is "Pisum sativum (pea) long non-coding RNA (PSAT_LNC017318)". Lineage: Eukaryota; Viridiplantae; Streptophyta; Magnoliopsida; Fabales; Fabaceae. The record is from RNAcentral.
UGACUUUGAUCUUCUGGCUAGACCUACUUCGAUCUUCUGGCUAGAUCUACUUCGAUUCGAUUCUCUGGCUGAAUCUACUCUCUUUGAUUCUCUGGCUGAAUCUACUUCGAUCUUCUGGCUAGAUCUGGAUUGUUUUGAUUCUCUGGUUGAAUCUUCAACUUGAACUUUAGGCUGGCUCUCUGGAAAACGAUUCUCAGGCUGAAUCUUCG